ACGGCUGAGUAACGCGUGGGAACGUACCCCAAAGUGAGGGAUAACGCAUCGAAAGGUGUGCUAAUACCGCAUAUGGUCUUCGGAUUAAAGCCUUCGGGCGCUUUGGGAACGGCCUGCGUAAGAUUAGAUAGUUGGUGGGGUAAUGGCCUACCAAGUCAACGAUCUUUAACUGGUUUGAGAGGAUGAUCAGUCAGACUGGAACUGAGACACGGUCCAGACUCCUACGGGAGGCAGCAGUGAGGAAUCUUCCACAAUGGGCGGAAGCCUGAUGGAGCAACGCCGCGUGCAGGAUGAAGGCCUUCGGGUUGUAAACUGCUUUUAUAAGUGAGGAAUAUGACAGUAACUUAUGAAUAAGGAUCGGCUAACUACGUGCCAGCAGCCGCGGUCAUACGUAGGAUCCGAGCGUUAUCCGGAGUGACUGGGCGUAAAGAGUUGCGUAGGUGGUUUAAUAAGCGAAUAGUGAAAUCUGGUGGCUCAACCAUUCAGACUAUUAUUCGAACUGUUGAACUCGAGAACAGAAGAGGUAGCUGGAAUUUCUAGUGUAGGAGUGAAAUCCGUAGAUAUUAGAAGGAACACCGAUGGCGUACGCAGGCUACUGGGCUGUUUCUGACACUGAGGCACGAAAGCGUGGGGAGCGAACCGGAUUAGAUACCCGGGUAGUCCACGCCGUAAAC
RNAcentral lists this ribosomal RNA (674 nucleotides) under uncultured bacterium. Its description in RNAcentral is "bacterial SSU rRNA". It matches the Rfam family "Bacterial small subunit ribosomal RNA", at positions 102 to 807 of the family's 1533-position model. The record is from RNAcentral.